CAGGGGUAGUUUAAUGUCCCUGGUGGUAGUUCGAUCCCUCUUCUAUACCAGAGUAGGCAUUUCCAGGGGUGGUUUAGUGUCCCUGGUGGUAGUUCGAUCCUUCUUCUAUACCAGAGUAGGCAUUUCCAGGGGUAGUUUAAUGUCCCUGGUGGUAGUUCGAUCCCUCUUCUAUACCAGAGUAGGCAUUUCCAGGGGUAGUUUAAUGUCCCUGGUGGUAGUUCGAUCCUUCUUCUAUACCAGAGUAGGCAUUUCCAGGGGUAGUUUAAUGUCCCUGGUGGUAGUUCGAUCCUUCUUCUGUACCUAUAAAAAGACUAAUUUGAAUCUAA
Long non-coding RNA from Eriocheir sinensis (Chinese mitten crab), 326 nucleotides. RefSeq lists it as uncharacterized. The record is from RefSeq and is a predicted model, not a curated record. The transcript has 2 exons. Lineage: Eukaryota; Metazoa; Arthropoda; Malacostraca; Decapoda; Varunidae.